This 71-nucleotide transfer RNA is filed under the name Marmota monax (woodchuck). Its description in RNAcentral is "tRNA.Thr". Lineage: Eukaryota; Metazoa; Chordata; Mammalia; Rodentia; Sciuridae. The record is from RNAcentral.
GGGGAUGUAGCUCAGCGGUAGAGUGCUCAACUGGUAUAGGAGAGGCCCUGGGUUUGAUCCUCAACACCACA